RNAcentral lists this ribosomal RNA (468 nucleotides) under uncultured bacterium. RNAcentral describes it as "partial 16S ribosomal RNA". It matches the Rfam family "Bacterial small subunit ribosomal RNA", at positions 28 to 507 of the family's 1533-position model. The record is from RNAcentral.
GACGAACGCUGGCGGCGUGCCUAACACAUGCAAGUCGAACGGAAAGGCCCUGCUUGCAGGGUGCUCGAGUGGCGAACGGGUGAGUAACACGUGGGUGAUCUGCCCCUUACUUUGGGAUAAGCCUGGGAAACUGGGUCUAAUACUGGAUAGGACCAUGCUGUAGGUGGUGUGGUGGAAAGAUUAGUUUCGGUAAGGGAUGAGCUCGCGGCCUAUCAGCUUGUUGGUGGGGUAAUGGCCUACCAAGGCGUCGACGGGUAGCCGGCCUGAGAGGGUGGACGGCCACAUUGGGACUGAGAUACGGCCCAGACUCCUACGGGAGGCAGCAGGGGGGAAUAUUGCACAAUGGGCGCAAGCCUGAUGCAGCGACGCCGCGUGGGGGAUGACGGCCUUCGGGUUGUAAACUCCUUUCAGCCAUGACGAAGCCUUCGGGUGACGGUAGUGGUAGAAGAAGCACCGGCUAACUACGUG